RNAcentral lists this ribosomal RNA (599 nucleotides) under uncultured euryarchaeote. Its description in RNAcentral is "bacterial SSU rRNA". It matches the Rfam family "Archaeal small subunit ribosomal RNA", at positions 310 to 868 of the family's 1478-position model. The record is from RNAcentral. Lineage: Archaea; Methanobacteriati; Methanobacteriota.
AAGGGCCCUAGUCCUACGGGAUNUUUCAGGGCGCGNAAAUUUUUCAAUGCGCGAAAGCGUGAUAAGGGAAUUCCGAGUGAUCUCCUUAGGGAGAUCUUUUCAUCUGUGUAAAUAGCAGGUGGAAUAAGGGCCGGGUAAGACCGGUGCCAGCCUUUUUACGACGUUACACGUUUAYCGUCGUAGRACUGGAAGCCGCGGUAAUACCGGCGGCCCGAGUGGUAUCCACGUAUAUUGGGUUUAAAGCGCACGUAGCCGGCUUGGCGUGUUCUCUGUGAAAUCCUUCGGCCUAACCGAGNGGCGUGCAGAGAAAACUACCAGGCUCGAGAAUGGGGGAGGCCAGAGGUACAUACAGAGUAGGGGUAAAAUCCGUUAAUCCUGUAUGGACCCCCAGCGGCGAAGGCGUCUGGCUAAAACAUGUCUGACGGUGAGGUGCGAAGGCUAGGAGAACGAAACGGAUUAGAUACCCGUGUAGCCCUACGCAGUAAAUGAUGCNGACCUAGGUGUUGCCACAACCUUCGAGUCGUGGCAGUGCCGUAGUGUAAACGUUAANUCNGCCACCUGGGGAGUACAACCGCAAGCUUAAAACUUAAAGGAAUUGC